GCCCAACCCGAAUUGGUCAGACCUAAAAUGUCAAUCAUUGCUUUGAGUUCGGGUCGGGUCGUGCCGGGUUUCUCUCUCGCUGCCUUUUUGUAAAGAAAUAUG
Molecule: long non-coding RNA, 102 nt
Organism: Hippocampus comes (tiger tail seahorse)
Lineage: Eukaryota; Metazoa; Chordata; Actinopteri; Syngnathiformes; Syngnathidae
Exons: 3
Source: RefSeq, a predicted model, not a curated record